This 67-nucleotide small nucleolar RNA is filed under the name Myotis davidii. The record is from RNAcentral. Lineage: Eukaryota; Metazoa; Chordata; Mammalia; Chiroptera; Vespertilionidae.
UUGCCCCUAUGAUGUUCAGCACUGGGCUCUGACUUCACUUGAAGACACAGUGCCCCCCCAGGGGAAA